Molecule: long non-coding RNA, 394 nt
Organism: Carassius carassius (crucian carp)
Lineage: Eukaryota; Metazoa; Chordata; Actinopteri; Cypriniformes; Cyprinidae
Exons: 5
Source: RefSeq, a predicted model, not a curated record
ACCAAUAACUAUAUGGAGGCUGCAAUGCGUGUCUUGAAAGACAAAAUACUUCAUAGGACAAAAGCAUUCAACCUGCCUCAAUUAUUCAACCUUUUCAUUACCCGACUAGAGAUGUACUAUGAAGCACGUGUGACAGACGUUGCUCUUGGCCAUUGGGAGGCAUUCCACCGGUCAAGAUUUCUUGCUACACAAAGUAAUAUCAAAGCAUCUGAUAUUUCUCAGGUUGGAGAAAAGAAAUUUCAGCUGAAAUGAGGGCUGAGCUGCUGAAAAUAACAAAAGCCUCAGUUUCUCUUGACUUUCUAAACCCUUUACGGCAAAAUAUGCCAACGCCAAGCACAUUAGCUCCAGACAUGCCUCCGAAGCAAGAAACCUGCACUUCUGAUCAUCAGUAUCA